GGAACCUGGUUGAUCCUGCCAGUAGUCAUACGCUUGUCUCAAAGAUUAAGCCAUGCAUGUCUAAGUAUAAACAAUUUUGUACUGUGAAACUGCGAAUGGCUCAUUAUAUCAGUUAUAGUCUACUCGAUAGUACCUUACUACUUGGAUAACCGUAGUAAUUCUAGAGCUAAUACAUGCGCAAAUACCCAACUGCU
Molecule: ribosomal RNA, 194 nt
Filed under: uncultured eukaryote
Lineage: Eukaryota
Description: partial 18S ribosomal RNA
Rfam family: Eukaryotic small subunit ribosomal RNA
Source: RNAcentral